GGAGGGUAUAGCUCAGUGGUAGAGCACAUGCCUAGCAUGCAUGAGGUCCUGGGUUCAAUCCCCAGUGCCUCCA
Molecule: transfer RNA, 73 nt
Filed under: Vicugna pacos (alpaca)
Lineage: Eukaryota; Metazoa; Chordata; Mammalia; Artiodactyla; Camelidae
Description: tRNA-Ala (AGC) (tRNA-Ala-AGC-163-1)
Rfam family: tRNA
About the family: Transfer RNA (tRNA) molecules are approximately 80 nucleotides in length. Their secondary structure includes four short double-helical elements and three loops (D, anti-codon, and T loops).
Source: RNAcentral